This 350-nucleotide long non-coding RNA is filed under the name Carica papaya (papaya). Its description in RNAcentral is "long non-coding RNA (CPAP_LNC010734)". Lineage: Eukaryota; Viridiplantae; Streptophyta; Magnoliopsida; Brassicales; Caricaceae. The record is from RNAcentral.
CAUACAUUUCAUCUUUAAAGUUCCAGAGCCGUUACAGUUGGUAUCAGAGCCGCGUUCCUCAGACUCAUCCCUUACACAAUAAUGCUUAGAGAAAUACCCACCGAUAAAUCGUUACUCAACUCUUCCUUUUGAAAUGCAGGUGCAGAGAAAUGAGGAGAGGAAGGCCCCCACUAAACCGAGCAACCCGGGAUGAUUCACUUCAGGAAGAUGUGGACAGAAUAUUUGAGAUGUUGGAAAGGAUCAUGGCCGCCCAGUAAGGUCGAGAGGAGAGAAGGGAGUUACCCGAACCUCCCCCACCACCACAGGUUGAGCCACCGCUAUAGCAAGCGAAUCCCGAGCCACCCCGGCAC